This 26-nucleotide transfer RNA is filed under the name Bison bison (American bison). RNAcentral's name for it is "partial tRNA-Thr". Lineage: Eukaryota; Metazoa; Chordata; Mammalia; Artiodactyla; Bovidae. The record is from RNAcentral.
AGUCUUAGGGAGGUUAGUUGCUCUCC